This 254-nucleotide ribosomal RNA is filed under the name uncultured bacterium. RNAcentral describes it as "partial 16S ribosomal RNA". It matches the Rfam family "Bacterial small subunit ribosomal RNA", at positions 524 to 776 of the family's 1533-position model. The record is from RNAcentral.
UACGGAGGGUGCGAGCGUUGUCCGGAAUCAUUGGGCGUAAAGGGCGCGUAGGUGGCCCGGUCAGUUCGUGGUGAAAGCGCGGGGCUCAACCCUGCGUCGGCCAUGAAUACUGCCGCGGCUGGAGCACUGUAGAGGCAGGCGGAAUUCCGGGUGUAGCGGUGGAAUGCGCAGAUAUCAGGAGGAACACCAAUGGCGAAGGCAGCUCGCUGGGACGGUACUGACGCUGAGACGCGAAAGCGUGGGGAGCAAACAGG